AUGGAGGCCGGCGCUGCACCUGCGCCGCCGGUUGGUCCUCCCCGACACCGUCCGGGCCCUCCUGCACUGCAUCACCCUCCUACCGCGCCUACUAGACCUACAGGAAGUGCUCAUGUAUCAAAUUCCAGUUGUUACUCAACCUGUAGUGGAUUCCAUUUGCUGAAGAUAUCGUCCAUUGUCACCAGUGCAUCCUUCUAUCUGGCCUUCACUGAUCAGUGGUUCAACCCUUCUCCUCCUCCUUAUUUUCACUAUUCUUCUAUUCUAGCUAGGUUCCAAGGAAGGGGCUCUUUGGAGCUAUCUUAUUUUGUUAGUUUGCUGUCCAGGGGAGCUUUAGAUCUAGAAGCAUUUUUUUCUGAAGUAUGCAUUUGUUGUCAAGGAGAGGUGCUGCUGUGUGAAUUUGUGCCGCUGUGUCGAAUUGGGCGGAGGCUUCCCUGUCAAGAAGAAGGUAUCCUACAAACUCCACCCAAUUCGACGAGCAUUGAGCUGCAGCACCAUCUGGUGCAGAGAAGCGCGGAGGACAGCUCGGUGGUAGGGGCGACGUAUCUGUCAAGAUGGGAUAUUCAGGUCGCUCUGCGUAGUGGGUGCCUCAUCAUUUACAGGAAAGUUAUUAAUUCUAGGAAGCGAUUGCGUGCUCAUGUAGGACUUGAUGAAGGAGAGGUAUGUCCCAAGUGA
RNAcentral lists this ribosomal RNA (672 nucleotides) under Triticum aestivum (bread wheat). RNAcentral describes it as "partial small subunit ribosomal RNA". Lineage: Eukaryota; Viridiplantae; Streptophyta; Magnoliopsida; Poales; Poaceae. The record is from RNAcentral.